RNAcentral lists this unclassified non-coding RNA (253 nucleotides) under uncultured Gammaproteobacteria bacterium. RNAcentral's name for it is "contains 16S-23S intergenic spacer region". It matches the Rfam family "Bacterial small subunit ribosomal RNA", at positions 524 to 776 of the family's 1533-position model. Lineage: Bacteria; Pseudomonadati; Pseudomonadota; Gammaproteobacteria. The record is from RNAcentral.
UACAGAGGGUGCGAGCGUUAAUCGGAAUUACUGGGCGUAAAGCGUGCGCAGGCGGUUUUGUAAGUCUGACGUGAAAUCCCCGGGCUUAACCUGGGAAUGGCGUUGGAGACUGCAAGGCUGGAAUCUGGCAGAGGGGGGUAGAAUUCCACGUGUAGCAGUGAAAUGCGUAGAGAUGUGGAGGAACACCGAUGGCGAAGGCAGCCCCCUGGGCUAAGAUUGACGCUCAUGCACGAAAGCGUGGGGAGCAAACAGG